AGAAGACACACUUGAGAAGUAUGAUGAUGUCAUCACCACAGGACAAAUCUCUGAUCUUCAAAAAGGGAAUUACGAUGGUGUCAUCAUCAUAGGGGAAAACUUUCAAGGUAUAAUAGCAGAUUAUGACGAUGUGGGAGGAGGACCCAAACAAAGUGGGCGGGGCUGUGACUCAAUAACCACACCCACUGCCUAAUGUUAUAAAAUGAUACUACAGCCUAUAAUCAUAAGCCUUAUAAU
This is a non-coding RNA of Paramisgurnus dabryanus, 237 nucleotides long. NCBI's taxonomy places the organism in Eukaryota, Metazoa, Chordata, Actinopteri, Cypriniformes, Cobitidae. The record is from RefSeq and is a predicted model, not a curated record.